Molecule: ribosomal RNA, 497 nt
Filed under: uncultured bacterium
Lineage: Bacteria
Description: partial 16S ribosomal RNA
Rfam family: Bacterial small subunit ribosomal RNA
Source: RNAcentral
GAUGAACGCUGGCGGCGUGCCUAAUACAUGCAAGUCGAGCGAACAGACGAGGAGCUUGCUCCUCUGACGUUAGCGGCGGACGGGUGAGUAACACGUGGAUAACCUACCUAUAAGACUGGGAUAACUUCGGGAAACCGGAGCUAAUACCGGAUAAUAUAUUGAACCGCAUGGUUCAAUAGUGAAAGACGGUUUUGCUGUCACUUAUAGAUGGAUCCGCGCCGCAUUAGCUAGUUGGUAAGGUAACGGCUUACCAAGGCGACGAUGCGUAGCCGACCUGAGAGGGUGAUCGGCCACACUGGAACUGAGCCACGGUCCAGGCUCCUACGGGAGGCAGCAGUAGGGAAUCUUCCGCAAUGGGCGAAAGCCUGACGGAGCAACGCCGCGUGAGUGAUGAAGGUCUUCGGAUCGUAAAACUCUGUUAUUAGGGAAGAACAAAUGUGUAAGUAACUAUGCACGUCUUGACGGUACCUAAUCAGAAAGCCACGGCUAACUACGUG